GACGAACGCUGGCGGCGUGCCUAAUACAUGCAAGUUGAGCGAUGAAGAUUGGUGCUUGCACCAAUUUGAAGAGCAGCGAACGGGUGAGUAACGCGUGGGGAAUCUGCCUUUGAGCGGGGGACAACAUUUGGAAACGAAUGCUAAUACCGCAUAAUAACUUUAAACAUAAGUUUUAAGUUUGAAAGAUGCAAUUGCAUCACUCAAAGAUGAUCCCGCGUUGUAUUAGCUAGUUGGUGAGGUAAAGGCUCACCAAGGCGAUGAUACAUAGCCGACCUGAGAGGGUGAUCGGCCACAUUGGGACUGAGACACGGCCCAAACUCCUACGGGAGGCAGCAGUAGGGAAUCUUCGGCAAUGGACGAAAGUCUGACCGAGCAACGCCGCGUGAGUGAAGAAGGUUUUCGGAUCGUAAAACUCUGUUGGUAGGGAAGAACGUUGGUGAGAGUGGAAAGCUCAUCAAGUGACGGUAACUACCCAGAAAGGGACGGCUAACUACGUG
This 497-nucleotide ribosomal RNA is filed under the name uncultured bacterium. Its description in RNAcentral is "partial 16S ribosomal RNA". It matches the Rfam family "Bacterial small subunit ribosomal RNA", at positions 28 to 507 of the family's 1533-position model. The record is from RNAcentral.